GGAUAACCUGCCCUAAGGAAGGGGAUAACCUCGGGAAACUGAGGAUAAUACCCUAUAGGAUACCGAUGCUGGAAUGCCCGGUAUCCCAAAGCUCCGGCGCCUUAGGAUGGAUCUGCGGCCGAUUAGGUCGUUGUUGGGGUAACGGCCCAACAAGCCGAUAAUCGGUACGGGUUGUGGGAGCAAGAGCCCGGAGUUGGAUUCUGAGACACGAAUCCAGGCCCUACGGGGCGCAGCAGGCGCGAAAACUUUACAAUGCGGGCAACCGUGAUAAGGGAACCUCGAGUGCCUGUACAUGCAGGCUGUCUGGGUGUCUAAAACACACCCAAAGAAAGGGCCGGGCAAGACCGGUGCCAGCCGCCGCGGUAAUACCGGCGGCUCGAGUGGUGGCCACUUUUAUUGGGCUUAAAGCGUUCGUAGCUGGGUUGUUAAGUCUCUUGGGAAAUCUGGCAGCUUAACUGUCAGGCGUCUAAGAGAUACUGGCAAUCUAGGAACCGGGAGAGGUGAGGGGUACCUCGGGGGUAGGAGUGAAAUCCUGUAAUCCUCGAGGGACCACCUGUGGCGAAGGCGCCUCACCAGAACGGCUUCGACAGUGAGGGACGAAAGCUGGGGGAGCAAACCGGAUUAGAUACCCGGGUAGUCCCAGCCGUAAACGAUGCGCGUUAGGUGUGUCGAUGACCACGAGUCAUCGAGGUGCCGAAGGGAAACCGUGAAACGCGCCGCCUGGGAAGUACGGUCGCAAGGCUGAAACU
RNAcentral lists this ribosomal RNA (749 nucleotides) under uncultured archaeon. RNAcentral's name for it is "bacterial SSU rRNA". It matches the Rfam family "Archaeal small subunit ribosomal RNA", at positions 102 to 856 of the family's 1478-position model. The record is from RNAcentral.